Molecule: non-coding RNA, 99 nt
Organism: Bombyx mori (domestic silkworm)
Lineage: Eukaryota; Metazoa; Arthropoda; Insecta; Lepidoptera; Bombycidae
Source: RefSeq, marked provisional
UAGGUGGCAGACGAGAAUGGAUCUACUGUGAAGGACUGAGAAUAUAUAUUCCCGAUCUGAUUAACAGAUAGAUUCUGAUUAAUGCUUUUGUUGCUGUCG